RNAcentral lists this long non-coding RNA (494 nucleotides) under Zonotrichia albicollis (white-throated sparrow). RNAcentral's name for it is "lncRNA (ENSZALG00000012887.1)". The record is from RNAcentral. Lineage: Eukaryota; Metazoa; Chordata; Aves; Passeriformes; Passerellidae.
CCUCAGUCCAGAUACAACCCUUUCUGAGAGACAUCUCCUUCUUCCAGACGUAACAGGCCUGUUGGCAGGAUGGGGCAUUUGGAGGACAUUGGGAAAGGCAGUCCGGAGACCGGCUGGAAAUAACUGCUGGGUCUUUGCCACUGAACCAGAAAGGGAAAGGUAGAGACACUUGCAGUCUCUGUUCCUCCCAUUUUUCUUCAUGUGAGGUCUUCACCUUCCAGUGUUUGAAGCUUUUUGGUCUGAGCUGGAAAGAGUUCACUUAGGAUCAAAAAAAUGCUGAAGGCCAGAGACAUCCUGGGACACUACUUCUGUGGAAUCUACAUCACUGGACUAUUUCUACCUCCUCACUAAAGAUAGUCAGAAAAGAAGCCAAAUACAAGUAUGAGAGUGAGUUCUAAAAGCAAGAAGCAAAAUUAUAAGGCAGGUAUGUACUUGUAUUUCUCAUUUAUAUAACAGUUAAGAAUCAAAACCAGGAACAGAAUGACCUUUCCUUU